Long non-coding RNA from Camelus dromedarius (Arabian camel), 1593 nucleotides. RefSeq lists it as uncharacterized. Lineage: Eukaryota; Metazoa; Chordata; Mammalia; Artiodactyla; Camelidae. The record is from RefSeq and is a predicted model, not a curated record. The transcript has 4 exons.
CCAGCGCGACCCAGUUGACUCUGGGUCCACGUGCUGAUAUCGCCUCCGUCUCUAGUGGUUGUGACCUUGAAUAACCAUGUUCUCUUAGGGGCAGGCCUGGUUUAUGGAAGGGAAGACAUCUGUGUGCUUCUCUCUUUGUGCACAGGGCUCGUUGACGUUGGGGACACUUUGCUGUGCCCAGAAAACUUAGGUCCCGAGGAGGUUGUGGAACUGGAGAAUCGAGCCGUCCUGACCAACCUGCAGCAGAAGUACCUGACCACGCUCUCCAACCCCCGGUGGUUACUGGAGCCCGUGCCCAGGAGAGGCGGGAAGGGCAUCUUCCAGGAACAGCACUGAAAAACACCUACAGGAAACAAAGAUCAAUUUCCACGUCACCAUAAAGGACGGGAGGAGCCCAGAGAUGCUGUACGCCGUGCCCCCCGAGCUGGCCCGGGCCCUCACUCCUUCCAAGGCUGACCGCUCGCUCUGCAAACACAGAGUGAAGGAUGGACUCCCUUCCUGCCCGGCAGGAGAAGCUGCUGGACAGGGGCCUGGAAGGAGCGCGGCUGCAAGUCUGGCUCAGGCCCCCUCUUCCUCAUUGCUCACGGCCUCCUCAGACAGGGACGGGAAGGAAAUGGGACCCUUACUGUUGAGUCUAAACAAAUGCUCCAGGACUUGCAACUUGCUGGUCUCCGCGUGGGCCCGGGGCCCCCACAGGAACUCGUGGCGAGCGGGAUCGCUGUCGGCCACCUGCCGGUACUCCAGGACGAUGACACCCAGAAGUAUCACCAGGAGGCCGUUCUUGGGCAUGCUCCGCUCAUCACCCUGCAUCCCAUCACAGGGACUCGGCACCGGCAGAGUAGGAAGAGGAGACGGAGGAGGAGGAGGAGGAGGAGGAGGACGAGGAGGACCGGGGGGAUGCGGCCCCCUCCUGCUCAGCCUCCAGCUGCUGCACAUCCACCAGGCCCUGGGCGUCUCUUGGGUCCUGAAGGUCUUCCACAGCCUGGCGGAGCUCACUCAUCUGAACCAGGGACAUAAUGACAGGUGUUGGCAGCUGACAGGAGUCUGGGCCGGGGUGACAGGUGGGGACCCAGUGGCCUUGUGGGAGGACAAGCUUAUCGACCUUCCCAGGGUUUCUAGGGCUGAACGAGGUUUCCUUUGGUGUCCCAUCUUUGUUGUGGGCGUGCGGGUCCCCUCACCCUUCCCUCGGGCCCUCACCUUGACUCCUGGGAGGACCCGGGACUCUUCUCUCUGUUGCCAAGGCGUGGUUCCUUCAGAUGAUCUGACCCGUCCUCUCACACCAAGGUCCUCACCUCCCUGAAAGGCGGGAGAGAAAGGAGAGGAGGCCCCUUUCCUGCUGUGAUUCAGGACAAGGAUACCUCUGGUCAUUGACUUUGGUUUCUGGGCACAGUUCCUUGUUCACAGCUCCCAAAGCCCUUGGGAUGUCCUCAGUGUUGAGAGUGAUGAAUGUGCUUUUUUUGUUUUUUAUGUGAAUGAGAUGUGUUUGCAAAGCACCUAAAAUGGGGCUGGUUGCCAGAAGAGCCAAUCAUGUGAUUAAAAGUUUGGAUCUUUUGGCCCCUCCCCAGCACCACCAGGGAGGGGAGAAAGGCUGGA